GAGUCGCAAACUCGCGAGAGUAAGCUAAUCUCUUAAAGCCGUUCUCAGUUCGGACUGUAGGCUGCAACUCGCCUACACGAAGUCGGAAUCACUAGUAAUCGCGGAUCAGCAUGCCGCGGUGAAUACGUUCCCGGGCCUUGUACACACCGCCCGUCACACCAUGGGAGUUUGUAACGCCCAAAGUCGGUGGCCUAACCUUUUGGAGCCAGCCGUCUAAGGUGGGACAGAUGAUUGGGGUGAAGUCGUAACAAGGUAAC
RNAcentral lists this ribosomal RNA (257 nucleotides) under uncultured bacterium. RNAcentral's name for it is "partial 16S ribosomal RNA". It matches the Rfam family "Bacterial small subunit ribosomal RNA", at positions 1244 to 1500 of the family's 1533-position model. The record is from RNAcentral.